CGUUAAUCCUUCGAGAGCGUCUUCGUCGGUGAUUUUUUCAAUUUUCUUGUAGAUAGUAAUAUUUGUGAUAAACUCUUCCACUUUAUUAUGAUUUCUUUCUCCGUCGUACCUUUUUGUGCAACGAGCGAAACUGCUUUUGUGUUGGCUACCUUCGUUUGUAAUUGACAACUUGUUAAUGAGUGUCGUGAAUUGCUCCUGCGUCAUAACCAUCAAUUCAGGUUUUUCUUCUGACAUUUUGUGUGGGUAGAUUACAAUUCUUCCAAAUCCAAUUUAUUGAGGGUAGAUCCUUGGUAGAUUUUUUUUUUGCCGUUGGGCGCCAAUAUGAUGUUGCCAGAUGAAUUAAAAUAACUGAUGUCUGAGUAAACAGGAACUUUAUUCGUUCAUGUAACAAAUUAUACAAAACACACGGAUAUGUAGAUAUGAAGGUAAACGUACAAUUCCUAAGGGUGGUUCUUGGAACGGGCUGCGGGGCUACCGCGUUCCUUAACCUCCUAGCUGAUGCUUUUUCUGAGGGCUGCGGGGCUACCGCUCAGAUUAAACUUGGGCAGACGAGUGGACUGCGGGGCUAUCGCACUCGUUGCCGUCUAGCUAUCGAAUGUGAUAACUGGCGUGCUGCGGCCUCUUAAAUAGCGAUCGUUGACGUCGUAGUGGGGUGGCGAUGCGUAGAUUACUCGUGGUUAUCGUUGUGUGAGUGAGCGCGUCACAGUGCAGCGUUGUAGGUAAAAUGUAGCAUUGCUAUAGACCACAAAUAAAUUUGUGGUCUUAUUUCAAAUUAGUAUGGUCCAAUCAUAGCCAACACUAAGACGUCAAAACGCUGCAAUGCGCGUUCAAAAACUGAGUAAAAAACCACCGUAACACCAAGGUUUUGGAAGGAAUAUCUUUUUUUGAUUUCCUAGUAGCCCCUUGUCGCUGUGCACAAUGGAUAUAUAUUGUCGCGAAAGAAAGAGAAGAAAUAUAGAACCCUUAUAAAAAUUCUAGAAUUGUUCAAUGGUGGUGGCAAAUCAAUGCAAAAAAGUAUUAAAAAAACUUUAUAUGUAUGUGUAAAUAUUUUAAGCGUAUAUGCUGAAAAGGAUUUGUUUUCUGGGGGAAACGAACACAGCCAUAAAAUAAGCCUAAAUUAAACUGAUUAUAGAAAAAUUCAUUGAUAUAAGAUUACAUUAUAUUUGUAAAAAAGAAACCGCUCAUAUAAAAAUGACUUCUAAAAGACAGCUUUAUAACAAACUGAAUCUGUUUAAAGGUAAUUAAACCUACAUUAUUGUUUUAAUUACUUCUGUAUAAAGAAUACGUGGAAAACAUGUUUCGUGUUUCCUUUCAUAUUUUUUUUACUUUAUUCAAUUUUAUUUUUUAUCACCUAUUUGUUGUAAUAGCGGCAAUGUAAAAUAUUAUCUACUACUUUUUCAAUCGGUCAAAAAUAGUUGCGACCAUACAAAACAAACCUAAAACAAAUAUGUAUAUUCUGCAACUCUAUGUCUUUCAAUACUUACUGUGUUCUGAGCAUUGAAAUGUAAUACCAAGAACUACAUCUAGUUCCACAAUACAAUAAGCACGAAAUUUUAAACAAAUAUUUUUAACCUUAUAAAUUAGGCUUUAAGUAUCAUUUUAGAAUAAAUAUUUUUGUACUGAUGACUUUUUAUGUUCAAGUGACAUUUUAAAUUUAUUCCAUAAUAUUCUUUUUCUGACGAAAGGACCUAAAUACAUAUAUUUUGCAAUGGUAAUUAAACUUUAUGUUUAAGUAUUAAGGUUUAUAAUAAACUGAAGUCGUUAACAUUAUUAAACUUUUUUCUAAGAAAUGAAGAUGUUUUCGUGUCUGCAAACGUGGCCACUGGAGCGUCUUAUUUUUGUUCCUGAUCCUUAAUCUAGUACUAUUAUUGAUCGAAGCAUUAGACGAACCUAAUCUACAUAAUAAUGUAUAAGUCCUCUAUUUGUGACAAAAAAGAUCUGGUUGUUAAUGUAGUAUUUGUACUGAGAAGGCGGCCUAGACAGUAAAGUUAUGUGGCUAAGGUUAAUUAGGCUAAGGUUAACCGUUAAGGUGAACCACUUUAUUUUUCCUGUGAAUUUUAUUAUUAGAAAAUAAUAAGCAUAAGCCGCUAUCAAAUAAAAAAUAAAUAAAUAAUAGUUUAAAAUAACUAACAAAAUACAAUUUUUACAUAUAUUUUUUUUAUAUUGAAUUGUCAUCUGUCCUUAAUAAGUCAUGCUCAAAAUCAUGUUCAAAGUUUCCGUUACAAACAUACAUACGUCUGAAGCUAAUAAAAUUCUGUAUUAAAAAUAUAGCUUGCCAUAUUCAACAUUGUUAUGACCUAAUUACAUCAGCCAAAUGUAGGUGUGUAAACCUUAAUAUUUUCGGUAAAGUAUUCUUGUUAGUUGGACACUCUUGUCAGAGUAGACGUGGUUACGCUGAUGAUGUACAUGCAGAAGCAAUCGUUAGGUUUCCAAUUAUUUCGAAGAUUGUCCUCCGGGCGAUAUGCGUCUACAUCUGGCGGCUCGAAGCAUUUCGAGUACACUGGACCAUGGUGAACAAACUCAGUUCCUUUGUUUAUUAGUUCAUUCCAGCUGGUUGAUGAUUUGCAGCGUGAUUUUUUGCUUUCCAACUGACCUUGAACUACUAGUCCCUCCAUCGAGUUCUCUUUUAUGGAGACGUGACCAAAGAAUUUUAAAAUUCGUAAUGGCGCAGUUGACAACGGUAUCUUGCCACUCUUGUCAAACAUAACUCCGCAUUAAGGUGCUAUUCUGAUCACAGAUGGCGACGGCAUGUACCUAAGCGGUAGACGGCAGUGGACUGUAUUAAUUUGUAUGAGACUUAUUCCGACACGUGACUAUAACUUCCUCUCGACAUGUCGUCAUUCUUUUGAUGCGUAGCGGCAGACUGAAUGGAAUUCCCGCGCAAAUACAGUACUGCCAUUGAACUUCGACAUUACGGACGUGUUAAGAGAGUGAUUUUUAUGAAAUAAUUUUGUGUCGUUCAGGUGUAUUUUUAUCUAACUUUAUUUAUUUUACUUCAUUAUAUAGUUGCAUUUGAUUUUUGUUUAUGCCUUGGGUGUAGUUCUGCAUGUGUAUUGUUGUUUGCUAGCUUCAGAUUCAGAGAAAAAUAACAAAGAACACGGCAGGUUCCAUUAAAUUAAGUAAUAAAGUUUUAUUAUAAUUCGUAAUUUUAGUCAUAGUAGUCUUUUCUAUAAACUUCUUCUUAUUGUCCUUAUCCUACAUUAUGCGGGGCCAGUUCAGUAUUAUCGAUUAAUUUAUAAUCUUAAUGUUAUGGACUUAAAAAGGAAAAAUGAUUAAUAAAAUAUGUAAGUUUGUUUACCUACAUCUAAUUAAUCUGCAAAAAAAUCUUUUAAAUUUUUAAAACACUAAUUAAUCGUCAUCGAAUAAACAAUUAUAAGUUUUUUCAAUUAAAAACUCAAAAUUGUUUUAUUUAAAUCAUUACCAAAGGUAACGUUGUUUAUGCGAGAAAAAGUCGAGAACGUCGAUGAAAAAAAAUCUAAUGCAGCGAAAUUUAUGGAGAAAUCGAGUAACCUAUAAAAAUAUUAGAAUAACAACAACACAAUUUUCUAUGACGAUAAGGCGCACAAUUAAGAUGAAAAAUACAUUUUGAACGGAGAGCCUCGCAUGCUUCGUUGCCAUUAUACUAGAAUAAAAAUUUAGUGUUAUUAGAAAGCAAUAAAAGAAGACAAAUAAUAACUCUUAAACUACUUACUUUUUACAGUAUAAAACAAGAACAUUUUAUGACAAUAAUAGAUAGUAAAAAGUGAUUUUUGUAAUUAAAAAUUUGAUUGAAAUAAAUACAAUUUUUUUUUAUCAAUCCUGGAAUACGUAGAAUAAUCAGGAUGUUUUCGUAAACUCAGAAUGAAAAUUUCAAACGUGUUAAUUAACUAUUGUUUAUUGGACUCUGUCUACUAUACACCCACACAUCAAUUAAAUAUUGGCCCUAUUGGCCAUCAGCAACGCUCGUAGCCAAGGAGGCUAUUUCAGCUACUGGUAGGUGAGCUCACGGACUCAACCUGAGAGAAUUUGCUAACACUAGCCCUAGCAAGCAGUUCUUCGCAAAAUCUACCACCGUAUCGGAAUCGCGGCCCAUUGAGAAGAUCCAACGAGAAACUCGUGUUGCCUAAGGGUUAGUUCGACGAGGAUGAUGACUGUUGCUUGAGGGGCCUAAGAGUACCACGAGUGUAUCCGGGGGAUCCGAUAAGGCAAGUUUCAGCCGACGGCCGCUUAGGUCGGCUAAGGCCUUUGCACAAGGGGAAACAUACAUUUAAAAAAAAAGCACGUUUUCUUUGUUACAAUAUUUAAUGUCAAUACUAAGUCCACUCGUGUUGCUAUAUCUAAGUUUUGGAUUUUUUUAUGACCAGAUGCCUGCCUGUCGUCAACCCCCCUUGGGAAUGGUUUUGUUGGCCUUGAGCCUAGGUUGCAUUGGCUUUGGUCAGGCUUUGGCUCUUAGUCAUCUUCUACGACACCCAUGAACUAAAUUUGGGUUGGUAGUAUUCUUAGGCGCCCACCGACAAGCACGCGCCGACCCCAGGUGACUGGGAGAAGGGCAGGAGAAUGAUGCUGACUAGUUCCACUCGUGGACAAAGACCUAGUUUUACUUUUAUUAUUAUUUUUAUUUUUUCUAACGUUUCAAAUACUUUACAGGUUUCGCGGUUACGAACUAGUAAUUAGAUAAUUGUUAAUUAUAUAGUUAAUCUUAUACCUUUAAACGAGCAAUUCUUGUAUAUAUAUUAAUAUAUAUAUAAUCUAAAUCUCGGAAACAGCUCCCAACGAUUUUCAUAAAAUUUAGUAUACAGGGGAUUUUGGGGGCGAUAAAUCGAUCUAGCUACGACUUACUUACGAAUUGAGGGCAACUAACCGCUUUAAAGACACAACAAGAUGGCGUUAUCAAAAAAAAAACCGAGCAAACCUCUCUAGUGUUAGUAAUACAUCAACAUUUGAAUAAUGUACUAAUUAAAACCUAAAUUUGUAUAAAAUAUUUUUUUGCCGAUGUUUCUUAGUACGCAGAAAGAACUAACAUUAUUUUAAUAACUUAUCUGAUUCAAUAAAUAAAUUUGGACAGUUAUUGGACCGCAAUCUUUUUUGUAAUGCAUUUGGGACUACCCCCGUAGUCGAGAUAACACUGACGCUACUCUGUUAUAUGGAAAAUAAUAUGAAACGCAUCCACUUGUUCACUUACGAACAUAUGCGUUAAAUGCAAAAGCGUUAUUAAAUUUUAUACGGUAAGGACAUCAUAAUCGCAUGCGUCUGACUAACUACACUAGAAGCUGAACGAAUAGAAAUAUUGUCACUUAGAUUUAAAUGAGCGAAGGCAAAGUAGUAGUAGGCAGCGGCUUGGCUCUGCUCCUGGCAUUGCUGAAGUCCAUGGACGACGGUAUACCACUUACCAUCAGGUGGGCCGUACGCUCGUCUGCCUACAAAGGCAAUAAACGAGAUUUUAAAAAUAAUGAAUACAUCAGUCGACGCUUGAAAAGCAAACGUGACUAAGCGACGAUGCGUGAACUUUACAGUAGACUAAUUUAAAGUUGAAAUACCUGAAAAAAAUUAUAUUUUAACGAAUCUAGCUGUAGGAUUGAAAUGAUUUUAAUACAUCUAGAAAUAUAUAUUUUUUUGCGCUUCGAAUAUGGUUAUUGCCUAUCAUUUAUGAGCAAAGCAGUCAUUGUCACUUAGUCACGUUUGCCUUUCAAGCGUCGAUUCUGAUAAAAUUAUAAACUGCAGCUUGUAAAUUAAAAUUUGAGUUACUAGUAAUUUUAGAACAAUCAAUAUUGCAACAAUUUGAUGGCUCAUAUAGUGUUCAAAAUUAUGCACAUAUUUUAUUUCUGCGUUACAACAUCGAGAUGUUUGAAAUAUCAUGUUCGACAAUAAACGAAACACUCAUAAAAAUACAAGCUUAUUAGAUAACUAAUUGGUGUACAAUGUACAGCAUAUCGACCUUGUUCACUACGUUCGCAAUGCCAAAACCGUCGUACGUAUUAUAUCACAAACGAAAUAAGAAUGUUCUUAAAGCUUGAUUAUCUGUUACUUAGUUGUGCUUUUUGACUGUUUUUUUUAAAAUGUAAAUUGUGUUGGUGUGCAAUAAAGUGUAUUCUCUCUCUCUCUCUCUUACGCCCGGUUCCAAUAUCCAAAAAACGAAUCGUUUUAUAUUACGAUCCGUUACAAUAUCUACGAAUCGUAGGACAAAAUAGUUCCUAUAAAAACGACUCGUUUUUAAAAUUACUGAUGACUUGCUACUAACGGAUGGGAGGGCUAACAUAACGGUUCGUACUGCGUUUUGUAUGGAGACUGUUGUCUGUAGUGUUCCUAUAUUAUUUUAGAAAUGUCAGUGAGCUGUCACAACUACGACGCGUAGAGCAUUUUUUAACCUACCGAUUUUGUUCGGUUGUGCUUUGGAAUUUUUGUGUUUGUGUUUUUUCUUUUAAAAUGUCGAGUUCAGAAAGUGAUAACGAAGUUUUAAUGUUACUGAAUUCAAGCGACGAUUCAAGUGAUGAUACGCGAAGUAAUAGAGUGUAUAAAACAAGAAUCAAUUAUUAUUCAGAGCUCGAUAAUCAGGAGUUUCAACUAAGAUUUCGGCUCGACAAGCAGUCUGUGCAAUUACUGUUAGGUGAAAUUUAUCCUUUUUUAAAGGUAAAAGGAACCAGGCUCGUAUUUUUAAUGCCAGCUGUUAAUUGGUAUUUUAUGAAGUAGUUAACUAUUUAACAAGUGAUUACAUGAAAAUAGUAUUUACUAGUUUAUUUUAAUUCUAUGAAUCAUGGAAUAUCUCCCUUACAUUACAAUUUAUCAGUUUUUUUUGGUAUUUUGGCGCGGUCCGGCCGACAUCUGGCGUUUCCUUUGUCUCUUCAUGGCGUUUUGUUCACUUUACAGUUAAAACUAAAGUAACUGUUUUUAAAUUGUGAAUGUUCAAAUAAAAUUACAUAUGUGAUGAAUUACAAUUAAUUUAUAUUAUUUUAAAAUAUUUAUGUAAAAAUACUAAUAAAAACUUAUGUAUUUUGAAAA
Bombyx mori (domestic silkworm) is the source of this 6975-nucleotide long non-coding RNA. RefSeq lists it as uncharacterized. The record is from RefSeq and is a predicted model, not a curated record. Lineage: Eukaryota; Metazoa; Arthropoda; Insecta; Lepidoptera; Bombycidae. The transcript has 2 exons.